GAUGAAAACAUCAGAGUUACAGUGACUGAUCUGCAAAAACUGACAGUUUGUAUCUAGAACUAAAAGUGAUUUCUACAAAUGGAUGUUGAUGCAAACUGAGCACUGCAGAAAAUCUAGAACUGUGAAGUAGAAAACUGUCCUGUCACUGUCCAAAAUGGUUUAGACUUGUGAGACCAGGAAGUGUUGAGCUUCAGUGUGUUUGUACCUCAGGCAGCCUGAAUUCUUCGAUCCCAGACUCCAACAUGUGUUUCAGUCCACUGUUCAUCUGUUUGGCAUUUUGGACCUGAACAACAAGACAGAAACACUCAGUGUCCUGAACCUCCUGCAAGUGUCACCACCAGGUGGCAGCAGAGCCCCAACAGAUCAGCUUUAUAUUACAGCCAUGUUUCCUGUGAUGGCUUCUGACUGUUUGAUCCCUGGUCUGCAGGAGGACUUAGAAGGAGAGGAACUGCUGUAGUGCCUCCAACCUGUCUCUUGAGGGACACCAGCUCCAUGUCCAGCUGGCGGAGGAGGGUGUUGGCGGCGGAGGCGCUGCAGGACACGGCCACCACGUCUUCCUG
Molecule: long non-coding RNA, 560 nt
Organism: Lates calcarifer (barramundi perch)
Lineage: Eukaryota; Metazoa; Chordata; Actinopteri; Centropomidae
Exons: 3
Source: RefSeq, a predicted model, not a curated record